This 515-nucleotide ribosomal RNA is filed under the name Bacillus sp. (in: firmicutes). RNAcentral's name for it is "bacterial SSU rRNA". It matches the Rfam family "Bacterial small subunit ribosomal RNA", at positions 18 to 514 of the family's 1533-position model. Lineage: Bacteria; Bacillati; Bacillota; Bacilli; Caryophanales; Bacillaceae. The record is from RNAcentral.
CCUGGCUCAGGACGAACGCUGGCGGCGUGCCUAAUACAUGCAAGUCGAGCGGACAGAUGGGAGCUUGCUCCCUGAUGUUAGCGGCGGACGGGUGAGUAACACGUGGGUAACCUGCCUGUAAGACUGGGAUAACUCCGGGAAACCGGGGCUAAUACCGGAUGGUUGUCUGAACCGCAUGGUUCAGACAUAAAAGGUGGCUUCGGCUACCACUUACAGAUGGACCCGCGGCGCAUUAGCUAGUUGGUGAGGUAACGGCUCACCAAGGCGAACGAUGCGUAGCCGACCUGAGAGGGUGAUCGGCCACACUGGGACUGAGACACGGCCCAGACUCCUACGGGAGGCAGCAGUAGGGAAUCUUCCGCAAUGGACGAAAGUCUGACGGAGCAACGCCGCGUGAGUGAUGAAGGUUUUCGGAUCGUAAAGCUCUGUUGUUAGGGAAGAACAAGUGCCGUUCAAAUAGGGCGGCACCUUGACGGUACCUAACCAGAAAGCCACGGCUAACUACGUGCCAGCAG